Molecule: ribosomal RNA, 218 nt
Filed under: Campeiostachys nutans
Lineage: Eukaryota; Viridiplantae; Streptophyta; Magnoliopsida; Poales; Poaceae
Description: Elymus nutans partial small subunit ribosomal RNA
Rfam family: Eukaryotic small subunit ribosomal RNA (bases 44-218)
Source: RNAcentral
GGAUUUACCCAUUGGUCAGGCUUAAUUGUCUGUACUGGUGAGAUAAAUCUCUACCUUCUGAGGAACUUUCAUGUCAUUAAUUUGGUGUGAUUGGAAAUCAGGACUGUUACUUUGAAAAAAUUAGAGUGUUUAAAGCAGGCUAACGUCUGAAUACAUUAGCAUGGAAUAAUGAAAUAGGACGGACUGAUUCUAUUUCGUUGGUUUCUAGGAUCACCGUA